RNAcentral lists this ribosomal RNA (434 nucleotides) under uncultured Ruminococcus sp. RNAcentral's name for it is "partial 16S ribosomal RNA". It matches the Rfam family "Bacterial small subunit ribosomal RNA", at positions 341 to 792 of the family's 1533-position model. Lineage: Bacteria; Bacillati; Bacillota; Clostridia; Eubacteriales; Oscillospiraceae. The record is from RNAcentral.
ACGGGAGGCAGCAGUGGGGAAUAUUGCACAAUGGGCGCAAGCCUGAUGCAGCGAUGCCGCGUGAGGGAAGAAGGUUUUCGGAUUGUAAACCUCUGUCAACAGGGACGAAAAUGACGGUACCUGUGAAGGAAGCUCCGGCUAACUACGUGCCAGCAGCCGCGGUAAUACGUAGGGAGCAAGCGUUAUCCGGAAUUACUGGGUGUAAAGGGAGCGUAGACGGCAUGGCAAGUCUGAAGUGAAGAUCCGGGGCUCAACCCCGGAACUGCUUUGGAAACUGUCAGGCUAGAGUACCGGAGGGGUAAGCGGAAUUCCUAGUGUAGCGGUGAAAUGCGUAGAUAUUAGGAGGAACACCAGUGGCGAAGGCGGCUUACUGGACGGUAACUGACGUUGAGGCUCGAAAGCGUGGGGAGCAAACAGGAUUAGAUACCCCGGUA